This 253-nucleotide ribosomal RNA is filed under the name uncultured bacterium. Its description in RNAcentral is "partial 16S ribosomal RNA". It matches the Rfam family "Bacterial small subunit ribosomal RNA", at positions 524 to 776 of the family's 1533-position model. The record is from RNAcentral.
UACGUAGGGGGCUAGCGUUGUCCGGAAUCAUUGGGCGUAAAGCGCGCGUAGGCGGCCAGAUAAGUCCGGUGUGAAAGUCACAGGCUCAACCUGUGAAUGCCGCUGGAAACUGUCUGGCUAGAGUCCGGAAGGGGCGAGUGGAAUUCCUGGUGUAGCGGUGAAAUGCGCAGAUAUCAGGAGGAACACCGGUGGCGAAGGCGGAUCUCUGGGCCUUACCUGACGCUCAGGUGCGAAAGCUAGGGGAGCAAACAGG